GACGAACGCUGGCGGCGUGCUUAACACAUGCAAGUCGAACGGAAAGGCCCUGCUUUUGUGGGGUGCUCGAGUGGCGAACGGGUGAGUAACACGUGAGUAACCUGCCCUUGACUUUGGGAUAACUUCAGGAAACUGGGGCUAAUACCGGAUAGGAGCUCCUGCUGCAUGGUGGGGGUUGGAAAGUUUCGGCGGUUGGGGAUGGACUCGCGGCUUAUCAGCUUGUUGGUGGGGUAGUGGCUUACCAAGGCUUUGACGGGUAGCCGGCCUGAGAGGGUGACCGGCCACAUUGGGACUGAGAUACGGCCCAGACUCCUACGGGAGGCAGCAGUGGGGAAUAUUGCACAAUGGGCGGAAGCCUGAUGCAGCAACGCCGCGUGCGGGAUGACGGCCUUCGGGUUGUAAACCGCUUUCGCCUGUGACGAGGCGUGAGUGACGGUAAUGGGUAAAGAAGCACCGGCUAACUACGUGCCAGCAGCCGCGGUGAUACGUAGGGUGCGAGCGUUGUCCGGAUUUAUUGGGCGUAAAGGGCUCGUAGGUGGUUGAUCGCGUCGGAAGUGUAAUCUUGGGGCUUAACCCUGAGCGUGCUUUCGAUACGGGUUGACUUGAGGAAGGUAGGGGAGAAUGGAAUUCCUGGUGGAGCGGUGGAAUGCGCAGAUAUCAGGAGGAACACCAGUGGCGAAGGCGGUUCUCUGGGCCUUUCCUGACGCUGAGGAGCGAAAGCGUGGGGAGCGAACAGGCUUAGAUACCCUGGUAGUCCACGCUGUAAACGGUGGGUACUAGGUGUGGGGUCCAUUCCACGGGUUCCGUGCCGUAGCUAACGCUUUAAGUACCCCGCCUGGGGAGUACGGCCGCAAGGCUAAAACUCAAAGGAAUUGACGGGGCCCCGCACAAGCGGCGGAGCAUGCGGAUUAAUUCGAUGCAACGCGUAGAACCUUACCUGGGUUUGACAUGGAUCGGGAGCGCUCAGAGAUGGGUGUGCCUCUUUUGGGGUCGGUUCACAGGUGGUGCAUGGCUGUCGUCAGCUCGUGUCGUGAGAUGUUGGGUUAAGUCCCGCAACGAGCGCAACCCUUGUUCACUGUUGCCAGCACGUUAUGGUGGGGACUCAGUGGAGACCGCCGGGGUCAACUCGGAGGAAGGUGGGGAUGACGUCAAGUCAUCAUGCCCCUUAUGUCCAGGGCUUCACGCAUGCUACAAUGGCUGGUACAGAGAGUGGCGAGCCUGUGAGGGUGAGCGAAUCUCGGAAAGCCGGUCUCAGUUCGGAUUGGGGUCUGCAACUCGACCUCAUGAAGUCGGAGUCGCUAGUAAUCGCAGAUCAGCAACGCUGCGGUGAAUACGUUCCCGGG
This 1343-nucleotide ribosomal RNA is filed under the name uncultured bacterium. RNAcentral's name for it is "16S ribosomal RNA". It matches the Rfam family "Bacterial small subunit ribosomal RNA", at positions 28 to 1378 of the family's 1533-position model. The record is from RNAcentral.